Molecule: ribosomal RNA, 325 nt
Filed under: uncultured eukaryote
Lineage: Eukaryota
Description: partial 18S ribosomal RNA
Rfam family: Eukaryotic small subunit ribosomal RNA
Source: RNAcentral
CCCUUAGAUGUCCUGGGCCGCACGCGCGCUACACUGAGUGUCUGAGAUAUGAGGCAUGCCUGGUCCGGCAAGGUCUAGGUAAUCACGAAAAGGCACAUCAUGCUUGGGAUUGAUUAUUGCAAAUUUUAAUCAUGAACGAGGAAUUCCUAGUAAGUGCAAGUCAACAGCUUGCGUUGAUUACGUCCCUGCCCUUUGUACACACCGCCCGUCGCUACUACUGAUUGAAUGGUCCGGUGAAAUCUUCGGACCGGGCGAUAGUCAGCAAUGACCGUUGCCUGGAAAGUUGCUUAAACCUUACCAUUUAGAGGAAGGUGAAGUCGUAACA